AACGAACGCUGGCGGCAUGCCUAACACAUGCAAGUCGAACGAGACCUUCGGGUCUAGUUGCGCACGGGUGCGUAACGCGUGGGAACCUGCCCUUAGGUUCGGAAUAACUCCCCGAAAGGGGUGCUAAUACCAGAGAAUGUCUUCGGACCAAAGAUUUAUCGCCGUUGGAUGGGCGCGCGUUGGAUUAGCUAGUUGGUAGGGUAAAAGCCUACCAAGGCGACGAUCCAUAGCUGGUCUGGGAGGAUGAUCAGCCACACUGGGACUGAGACACGGCCCAGACUCCUACGGGAGGGAGCAGUGGGUAAUAUUAGACAAUGGGCGCAAGCGUGAUCAAGCAAUGCCGCGUGAGUGAUGAAGGCCUUAGGGUUGUAAAGUUCUUUUACCCGGGAUGAUAAUGACAGUACCGGGAGAAUAAGCACCGGCUAACUCCGUG
Molecule: ribosomal RNA, 433 nt
Filed under: uncultured bacterium
Lineage: Bacteria
Description: partial 16S ribosomal RNA
Rfam family: Bacterial small subunit ribosomal RNA
Source: RNAcentral